Molecule: long non-coding RNA, 1554 nt
Organism: Physella acuta
Lineage: Eukaryota; Metazoa; Mollusca; Gastropoda; Physidae
Source: RefSeq, a predicted model, not a curated record
AAUAAAAAUCUAUCAUGGAUCCACUUUUUACAAAUAUCGAAUUUCUAAGCUAUUUACAAGCUAGUCUGAAUAAUAUUUUUGGUCUUUUUAUCGUACCAUCAAAUGUUGUGCACUUGUUUCAAAGAUACAACGCAAAAAUCUUCACCAGAAACGAUUUGUGUGAAAUAAAAGCCAAAGAAGACACUAAAGGUGAGGUAGCAGCAAGUUCUCUACUGCUUGAGAGGCUGAUGAUUUAUGAAGGCUAGUAUCCGUGCUUAAUAAAGGUUCUUAAUGACCCAGGUGCUAAACUCGGACACAUUGUGACACUUGUUAAAAAAGCUGUCAUCGAAGCAGAGAAUAGCUGUAAAUCUAUUGGUGCAGAGAAUUCCAACCAAUGCUGUAAACAUCAAAAUUUAAAUUUGGCAGCAGAAAACAACGACUUGAAACGAAAAAAUGACUCUUUGGAGAAAGAAAAACUUGAGCUUCAACAAAUAAUUCAGAGACUACAGGAUGAAAAAGCUAAGAUGUCUAAUUCAAAAGCCAAAUUAGUAGAAUACAACAAACAGCUGAACAUUAAAAUUGAAAUAAACCGGGAGUGAUCUCCCCUAAACUUUCUCGAAUGUUCGAAUAUAACACUACGUGGGAUGGCAACACGGAGUAUAGACAUGAUUUUUGUUUUUCUUAAACUUUUAAAAAUAGAAUAAAAUCUAGUAGAAAAAAGAAUUGCGCACAAAGCAAACGCCAAAGCAAAAAGUGCAUAAUAGUGCGCUAUAUUAUUAGUUCUUUAUAAAUUUACAUGCGUUUUUUGAGAAAUCGGAUAUAGCGUAAAUUAGUACUUCCGAUCAACGGAAAUUAAUCAAACUUUGAAAGAAGGAAGAGAAUUAGAUUUUUUACUUACAUGUGAAAUUUCAUUUAUCUAUAUGAAAUAGUACUCAAGUUAUAGGCUUAUGAAAAAUUCAAAGUAGAAAAAAGACCACUUCCGGUUGUCGGAAAUCGCUCAAAUAUUGUUACCUAUCUACGAUUUUGAUAAAAUACCUAUAUAUAAAAUUUCAUCACCCUAGCUGUAACGGUACUCAAGUUAUCGUGUUUAAACACAGACAGAUAGACAGACACACAACAACACAGACAUACGGACAAGAUUGCAAAAAACAUUUCCGUAUCAGUGAAGUGUAAAACGUCGAGAUUUGCAAAAAUCUUCGAUUUUUUUUUGCACGAUUACAAGACUUUCUCUAUACUUCGUAUAUACGAGAAAGUAAAAAUAAAUGAAACUAGACCACCCGUCAUCCUUUGGAUAACUGUGGGUUAAGGGGUUAUUUAAAGAGGACUUUUUUGACAUUUAUGUCUCCACCCCCCCCCCCCUCCCAGAUCGCCACAUAUUUUUGUGUGUAACUUAAGAACCAGGUUUUUUUUCUGUCAAAACGGCUAUCAUAAAAAAAGUUAAGGGUGCUGACUGUAUGCAAUUUGUUUAAAAAUAACUAUUUCGUCGUACACUUUACAGUAGAGCAACGUGAACCAUAUUACACAUUCAGAUUAUCAGAUUGAAAUAAUACUUAAGUGUUUUGGGCUAUAUACAUU